RNAcentral lists this ribosomal RNA (2923 nucleotides) under Klebsiella pneumoniae. Its description in RNAcentral is "23S ribosomal RNA". It matches the Rfam family "Bacterial large subunit ribosomal RNA". The record is from RNAcentral. Lineage: Bacteria; Pseudomonadati; Pseudomonadota; Gammaproteobacteria; Enterobacterales; Enterobacteriaceae.
GGGUUGUGAGGUUAAGCGACUAAGCGUACACGGUGGAUGCCCUGGCAGUCAGAGGCGAUGAAGGACGUGCUAAUCUGCGAAAAGCGUCGGUAAGGUGAUAUGAACCGUUAUAACCGGCGAUGUCCGAAUGGGGAAACCCAGUGCAAUUCGUUGCACUAUCGUUAACUGAAUACAUAGGUUAACGAGGCGAACCGGGGGAACUGAAACAUCUAAGUACCCCGAGGAAAAGAAAUCAACCGAGAUUCCCCCAGUAGCGGCGAGCGAACGGGGAGCAGCCCAGAGUCUGAAUCAGCUUGUGUGUUAGUGGAACGGUCUGGAAAGUCCGACGGUACAGGGUGAUAGUCCCGUACACCAAAAUGCACAGGCUGUGAACUCGAAGAGUAGGGCGGGACACGUGGUAUCCUGUCUGAAUAUGGGGGGACCAUCCUCCAAGGCUAAAUACUCCUGACUGACCGAUAGUGAACCAGUACCGUGAGGGAAAGGCGAAAAGAACCCCGGCGAGGGGAGUGAAAAAGAACCUGAAACCGUGUACGUACAAGCAGUGGGAGCACCUUCGGGUGUGACUGCGUACCUUUUGUAUAAUGGGUCAGCGACUUAUAUUCUGUAGCAAGGUUAACCGUAUAGGGGAGCCGCAGGGAAACCGAGUCUUAACUGGGCGUUAAGUUGCAGGGUAUAGACCCGAAACCCGGUGAUCUAGCCAUGGGCAGGUUGAAGGUUGGGUAACACUAACUGGAGGACCGAACCGACUAAUGUUGAAAAAUUAGCGGAUGACUUGUGGCUGGGGGUGAAAGGCCAAUCAAACCGGGAGAUAGCUGGUUCUCCCCGAAAGCUAUUUAGGUAGCGCCUCGUGAACUCAUCUUCGGGGGUAGAGCACUGUUUCGGCUAGGGGGUCAUCCCGACUUACCAACCCGAUGCAAACUACGAAUACCGAAGAAUGUUAUCACGGGAGACACACGGCGGGUGCUAACGUCCGUCGUGAAGAGGGAAACAACCCAGACCGCCAGCUAAGGUCCCAAAGUCAUGGUUAAGUGGGAAACGAUGUGGGAAGGCACAGACAGCCAGGAUGUUGGCUUAGAAGCAGCCAUCAUUUAAAGAAAGCGUAAUAGCUCACUGGUCGAGUCGGCCUGCGCGGAAGAUGUAACGGGGCUAAACCAUGCACCGAAGCUGCGGCAGCGACACUAUGUGUUGUUGGGUAGGGGAGCGUUCUGUAAGCCUGCGAAGGUGACCUGUGAGGGUUGCUGGAGGUAUCAGAAGUGCGAAUGCUGACAUAAGUAACGAUAAAGCGGGUGAAAAGCCCGCUCGCCGGAAGACCAAGGGUUCCUGUCCAACGUUAAUCGGGGCAGGGUGAGUCGACCCCUAAGGCGAGGCCGAAAGGCGUAGUCGAUGGGAAACAGGUUAAUAUUCCUGUACUUGGUGUUACUGCGAAGGGGGGACGGAGAAGGCUAUGUUAGCCGGGCGACGGUUGUCCCGGUUUAAGCAUGUAGGCUGAUUGUCCAGGCAAAUCCGGAUAAUCAAGGCUGAGGUGUGAUGACGAGGCACUACGGUGCUGAAGUAACAAAUGCCCUGCUUCCAGGAAAAGCCUCUAAGCAUCAGGUAACAUUAAAUCGUACCCCAAACCGACACAGGUGGUCAGGUAGAGAAUACCAAGGCGCUUGAGAGAACUCGGGUGAAGGAACUAGGCAAAAUGGUGCCGUAACUUCGGGAGAAGGCACGCUGGUGUGUAGGUGAAGCCCCUGCGGGUGGAGCUGAGACCAGUCGAAGAUACCAGCUGGCUGCAACUGUUUAUUAAAAACACAGCACUGUGCAAACACGAAAGUGGACGUAUACGGUGUGACGCCUGCCCGGUGCCGGAAGGUUAAUUGAUGGGGUUAUCCGUAAGGAGAAGCUCUUGAUCGAAGCCCCGGUAAACGGCGGCCGUAACUAUAACGGUCCUAAGGUAGCGAAAUUCCUUGUCGGGUAAGUUCCGACCUGCACGAAUGGCGUAAUGAUGGCCAGGCUGUCUCCACCCGAGACUCAGUGAAAUUGAACUCGCUGUGAAGAUGCAGUGUACCCGCGGCAAGACGGAAAGACCCCGUGAACCUUUACUAUAGCUUGACACUGAACAUUGAGCCUUGAUGUGUAGGAUAGGUGGGAGGCUUUGAAGCGUGGACGCCAGUCUGCGUGGAGCCAACCUUGAAAUACCACCCUUUAAUGUUUGAUGUUCUAACGUUGGCCCCUGACCGGGGUUGCGGACAGUGUCUGGUGGGUAGUUUGACUGGGGCGGUCUCCUCCCAAAGCGUAACGGAGGAGCACGAAGGUUAGCUAAUCCUGGUCGGACAUCAGGAGGUUAGUGCAAUGGCAUAAGCUAGCUUGACUGCGAGCGUGACGGCGCGAGCAGGUGCGAAAGCAGGUCAUAGUGAUCCGGUGGUUCUGAAUGGAAGGGCCAUCGCUCAACGGAUAAAAGGUACUCCGGGGAUAACAGGCUGAUACCGCCCAAGAGUUCAUAUCGACGGCGGUGUUUGGCACCUCGAUGUCGGCUCAUCACAUCCUGGGGCUGAAGUAGGUCCCAAGGGUAUGGCUGUUCGCCAUUUAAAGUGGUACGCGAGCUGGGUUUAGAACGUCGUGAGACAGUUCGGUCCCUAUCUGCCGUGGGCGCUGGAGAAUUGAGGGGGGCUGCUCCUAGUACGAGAGGACCGGAGUGGACGCAUCACUGGUGUUCGGGUUGUCAUGCCAAUGGCACUGCCCGGUAGCUAAAUGCGGAAGAGAUAAGUGCUGAAAGCAUCUAAGCACGAAACUUGCCCCGAGAUGAGUUCUCCCUGAGACUAUAAGUCUCCUGAAGGAACGUUAAAGACGAUGACGUUGAUAGGCCGGGUGUGUAAGCGCAGCGAUGCGUUGAGCUAACCGGUACUAAUGAACCGUGAGGCUUAACCUUACAACGCCGAAG